CCACGACUGAAUAGGAUACCACUACACGCACUUGUAAAGGGUGGAUGAGGAACAUCAUGCCUACACACUGCUACCAAGGAUCAUAGGCCACACCACCUCUGCAGAUUAAAAGAGAUAGGGCAGACAGAAAACGGCUGUUACAUUACAGACCAAACUUUGAAGAACGAUUGGUGAGCGCUUCAAUGCCCAAACUAGAACUUACCCUGACUCGAAAUAGUAUAACUCAAGGGGUUGGAUACGACACCGACGGUACACAUGAUGGGAGCAGAACAGGUAAACCGGUG
This is a non-coding RNA of Pelobates cultripes (western spadefoot toad), 284 nucleotides long. The record is from the annotation of a GenBank genome assembly. Lineage: Eukaryota; Metazoa; Chordata; Amphibia; Anura; Pelobatidae.